UACGGAGGGGGCUAGCGUUGUUCGGAAUCAUUGGGCGUAAAGGGCGCGUAGGCGGCCGAUCAAGUCGGAGGUGAAAUCCCUCGGCUCAACUGAGGAAUUGCCUUCGAUACUGUUCGGCUUGAGUCCUGGAGAGGGUAGCGGAAUUCCUGGUGUAGCGGUGAAAUGCGCAGAUAUCAGGAGGAACACCGAUGGCGAAGGCAGCUCGCUGGGGCGGUACUGACGCUGAGACGCGAAAGCGUGGGGAGCAAACAGG
RNAcentral lists this ribosomal RNA (253 nucleotides) under uncultured bacterium. RNAcentral's name for it is "partial 16S ribosomal RNA". It matches the Rfam family "Bacterial small subunit ribosomal RNA", at positions 524 to 776 of the family's 1533-position model. The record is from RNAcentral.